AGCUAACAAAUCAGCGCACACCGCCUCAAAAUAAGGACAGCGUCCAGAUUACGUGACCGACUCUGAUCGGCUUCCAGAUUAACCGACUAUGUGAUUAAAAAUAAAUCCUAUACGCAAUCACAAUUUAAUCUCAGCCUUUCAUCUCAUUCUUCCUUUCUAUAAAACCUCCGUAUUUUCAAACGCUUCGGGUUAUGGGCGCUCUGUGAUUUUGGUUUUUUGUCUAGUUUCUUCUGGCAAUUUGUUUUUCCUCGUCUGUUCGAUCUCUGUAUCUUUUUGGUUUGAUUGAUAUUUUAUGUAGUUUGCUAUCGGUUUGUGUAUGUUUUGGUUCGUAUGUGCGUAGAAUAUUUCGAUGCGAAGAGAACAGUUGGUAUUGAUUUGAUUGGUAUUGCAAAUCGGUGAGGGGUGUUUCUUCUUUUCUCCAUACCUGGUUUUUGUUUCCAAGUUAUUUGCUGAAGAUCUAAUGUCUAGACUUAUUCCGAUGGCUUUCUUGGUUGGUUUGGAUUUGUUAGAUUGUUUACAUUUUGGUAGAAAUCUUUCUGGUUGUUUUGUGGUGCUAGGUUUUGGAAUAAGCGGAAUCGAAGCUUGAGUACAAAGGAUUAUUCGUGGUUAUUUUGGCUUUCUGUUUGAUUGAGGCAAAUUGUGUUUUGAUAUUGCAUUGCCAUGUAGUUUCGCUCGGAGUCUGAUGAUUGUUUAAUUGAGUCUGAUGAUUGUUUAAUUGAUUUCAGCUCUAGUAGGAAACAGAGUUUGAUUCAGUUUGAUUCAUGAUAUUUUAAGGUGUGCUACGACAGUGGUGGCGGUGGUUUGAUAAUCGAUUUCUUUAGUUUUGGAUUAUUCAAUUUUUCCCCUUCAUAUUUUUUAAUCCAACACGUUACCACAAAGACCUUCAAUUUUGGUGGUUCCUAAAUUAGUUUCUUCUCUCUUUUG
Molecule: unclassified non-coding RNA, 924 nt
Filed under: Hevea brasiliensis (rubber tree)
Lineage: Eukaryota; Viridiplantae; Streptophyta; Magnoliopsida; Malpighiales; Euphorbiaceae
Source: RNAcentral